RNAcentral lists this transfer RNA (62 nucleotides) under Mooreobdella quaternaria. RNAcentral's name for it is "tRNA-Leu". The record is from RNAcentral. Lineage: Eukaryota; Metazoa; Annelida; Clitellata; Hirudinida; Erpobdellidae.
AAUAAGUUGGCAGAUUAAUGCGGUUGGCUUAGAACCUUCAUAUGAGGUUAACUCACUUAUUA